AGUUUGACCUCAAUCAGGUAGG
This 22-nucleotide ribosomal RNA is filed under the name Saccharomyces cerevisiae (brewer's yeast). Its description in RNAcentral is "partial 28S ribosomal RNA". The record is from RNAcentral. Lineage: Eukaryota; Fungi; Ascomycota; Saccharomycetes; Saccharomycetales; Saccharomycetaceae.